Molecule: ribosomal RNA, 561 nt
Filed under: uncultured Acetobacter sp.
Lineage: Bacteria; Pseudomonadati; Pseudomonadota; Alphaproteobacteria; Acetobacterales; Acetobacteraceae
Description: bacterial SSU rRNA
Rfam family: Bacterial small subunit ribosomal RNA
Source: RNAcentral
UCUUGAGGUGGGGGAUAACUCCGGGAAACUGGAGCUAAUACCGCAUGAUAACUGAGGUUCAAAGGUCGCAAGACCGCCUUGAGAGGGGCCUGCGUUCGAUUAGUUAGUUGGUGGGGUAAUGGCCUACCAAGACGAUGAUCGAUAGCUGGUUUGAGAGGAUGAUCAGCCACACUGGGACUGAGACACGGCCCAGACUCCUACGGGAGGCAGCAGUGGGGAAUAUUGGACAAUGGGGGCAACCCUGAUCCAGCAAUGCCGCGUGUGUGAAGAAGGUCUUCGGAUUGUAAAACACUUUCGUUGGGGACGAUGAUGACGGUACCCAAAGAAGAAGCCCCGGCUAACUUCGUGCCAGCAGCCGCGGUAAUACGAAGGGGGCGAGCGUUGCUCGGAAUAACUGGGCGUAAAGGGCGCGUAGGCGGCCGAUAGCUGUCAGAUGUGAAAUUUUUGGGCUCAACCCGAAAACUGCAUUUGAUACGUAUUGGCUAGAGUGCGAGAGAGGAUUGCGGAAUUCCCAGUGUAGAGGUGAAAUUCGUAGAUAUUGNGAAGAACACCAGUUGCGAA